Molecule: long non-coding RNA, 520 nt
Organism: Mesocricetus auratus (golden hamster)
Lineage: Eukaryota; Metazoa; Chordata; Mammalia; Rodentia; Cricetidae
Exons: 2
Source: RefSeq, a predicted model, not a curated record
CAGAUCAGCAUGUAAAGUUCUCAGCUACUUCUCCAGCACCAUGUCUGCCUGCACACUACCAUGAUCCCAGCUGCCAUGCUCGCUGCCGUAGGGAAAGCAGACUAAACCUCUACAACUGGAUCUCGCCACUAGCCCUCUGGACUCACAGAAGAGUAGCUUUCUUGGGCCUGUGCCCAUCUCCUGAUGCAAAUAAUGAACUCAGCUUCCUCAUCAAAACCUGCCUGUGUUGAUCAGAGGCCCUGCUUCUCCUGCCUUCUCAGACCUAGAAAGUAUCCAGAGUCUUUGUCCACUGGUUUCUGAGAUCCACUAGCCUCCUUUAAAAGGCUGAGCAGGCUUAAUAAAAUAUCGCACAAACCACCACUGCCCCUACGCCAUCUGUGCCCAUGGCCGACUUAUAAUCAACAGUCUACUGUGUCUCCCUUUCUUUGGGGUGCCUCAGCAGGAUGAGCCUAGCACUUCCUAAUGUCUUUAUGUCUUUAUACCUAGGAAACUGUAAUAAAAGCCUCGGUUCUUCUUUUGA